UCCUCAGUAGCUCAGUUGGUUAGAGCAUCUGACUGUUAAUCAGAGGGUCACUGGUUCGAGUCCAGUCUGAGGAGCCA
Molecule: transfer RNA, 77 nt
Filed under: Flavobacteriia bacterium
Lineage: Bacteria; Pseudomonadati; Bacteroidota; Flavobacteriia
Description: tRNA-Asn
Rfam family: tRNA
About the family: Transfer RNA (tRNA) molecules are approximately 80 nucleotides in length. Their secondary structure includes four short double-helical elements and three loops (D, anti-codon, and T loops).
Source: RNAcentral